Carassius carassius (crucian carp) is the source of this 553-nucleotide long non-coding RNA. RefSeq lists it as uncharacterized. The transcript is spliced from 3 exons. The record is from RefSeq and is a predicted model, not a curated record. Lineage: Eukaryota; Metazoa; Chordata; Actinopteri; Cypriniformes; Cyprinidae.
UGAGCAUCCUUUGGCAUAUCACUUGUCUGCUACUGCUGCAUUCCUGCACCCCAGGUAUUCACAUCCAGUCUACUUUAGUAAUUACAACAGGUUGUUUAUCAGAAUAAGUCAUGACAUUAUUUCAUAGAACUAUGCUCUUUAUAGGUUUCUUCAUAAAUGGCAUUGUUGGCGGUAGGGUCUCUAUUCCCCACAGUCGACCCUACAUGGUCUACAUUCGUGACAAGAAAAUAAAACAAACAUGUGGUGGUUUUUGGUGAGAGAGGAUUAUGUGAUGACAGCUGCCCACUGUAAACCAAGGUUUAAUCAUCUUGAGGUAUUUGUGGGGGUCCAUGACACCAACUUUUUACCUGACGGUAUAGAGGUAGAUCCCAUUCCACAUCCAAAAUUCAAUAUGAAGAGAACAGAUCAUGACAUCAUGCUUCUAAAGCUCAAAACCCCACUAUCUUUGAGCAAAUUUGUGAGAACUAUCACUUUUCCAAAUCCUGAGAAUGAAAAAAUGUCAAGUAACUGCCUGGUCAUGGGUUGGGGCUGGAAGAAAUACCAUGAAGAGUCU